UGGCGGGGAUAGCACCGUUUAUUAAGAAAAAUCAAGACAAAGACCCUUCUAGGACCUGAGGUCAGGUGUCCCAAAGCCACAAUAUGGGGACUGCUGACCACCAGGUCGGUCGUUGGGUUCCCAGGGGUGGGGCUGUCAUCUUCCUCCCACUCCCCCCAGUCAGGGGUCUUGGCCUCCCCACUCUAAGGCACUGGCUCUUCCUGACCACCAGUUCCCCCAAGUCCCUGGGCCUUCACCUCCAGAAGAGUGGGGGAUGUGGUCUGGUGUGGUGAGACCUCAGUGCUGGGUGUUCCAGGGAGGAGCUGGGGGGGUUUCCCUUGCAGCCCUGAGGGGGGACCCUGGACUGUGUGUGGGUGGUGGGAGGAGGCUGUGCCGCUGGGCAGAGGUGGGGGAUUGGGAUGGAGCUGGUGGGGGGAAGAGCAAGCUGCCUUCUGCUCCACAGGGGGCGCUAUGGAGUUUUCCAGCCCAGGGUUGGGGGGGUAAGGGCAGGUGAUACCUCCUGUUCACUUAGCUGGUGGGCACCAGGUGGUGAGCUGAGAUGGUCCUCAGGAAGGAGGGCUGCCCAAGGGCUCCCAAAGUGGGUGGCCCAGUUCUUUGGGGGUUCCGUCAGGGCAUGAGGGGUUGGGAUAGAUCUGGGUCUACCCAGCCACCAUGCCUAACCUCAGUUCUUGGUGGCUUUCUGAGGCAACAGACCCUCCCACCUGCCCUGCCCACAGGCCUUGGUGCUUUUCCCAUGUGUGUGGGAAGCUGGUGUGCCCACCCUCCAGUCCAGCCCAGGGCAGUAGCAGCAAAGCAUGGCAUCGCUUCAGUUUCUUACAAAAAACUCAUAAUAAUAAUAUUAAUAAUAAUAUACUCGACAUUGUCAGGCUGGGCGUGGCCUGGGAGUCCAUGGGAAGCUGGCAAGUGCCUAUGAGGGGCAGGGGCGUGUGUUGGCUCCAGCCUGGGCACGGUGCUGCAGGUCUAGGGGUUGGGGCGGUGGUGCGCCAGGCCCAGCCGAGUGCAGCACUAGGUUCUUGAUACAGCCUGUGAUGCCUGAGGAGAACCUGCCUCUGGUCAGUGUGGCCACAUCUGGGGCGCCACCUGUGGGCAGGGGAGUGAGAGCGCUGGAGGGUUCCAGAAGCCCAGGAGGCCAGCAUUGCAGGACCACCGUGCCCUCCUUGCCCUUGGUGGGCUCCUCCCACCCCAGGCCAGCCCAAGACUUACCAAUGUACACCCUGCCUUUGGUGUUGACUGCCACAUUGGGGCCCGGGGACUGUCCGCUCACCAGCUCCUCGCCGUCAACCUGGAUGGAGCCUCUCCGGCCCUCUCUGCAGUGUGGCUGGGUCAGGCCCCCUGCCUGGCCUGGAUUCCCAUCCUUCCAGCCCACCCAUAAAACCCAUCCCCUUGGCAUGGAGACUCUGGACAGAUGAGCCAGGCCCAGCCCCUUGCACACCCCCCAAUCAUGGGCCUCACCCUGCAAACCCAGCUCUGGUUUGACCAGGGAGCUCCCCAACUCCAGUUUCCUGUUCUCUCACAGAGCUCAGUGGCCACUUCCCUGCCUGUGAUGGGGGCAUCCUAUCCCUCUGCAGGACUCUAGUCCUUUUUCCUAACGCCUGGCUGGGCUUGCUUACCGCAGCACUGCCACCCGGUGCCACUCGGCCGUCAUUGAUAGGGUCCUCAGAGACAAGGUGGGCCUCCCCACUGCCCAACUGGUAGCUGGAGUAACAGAGGCCCAUGAGUGCGAGCUGGUGCAGGACUGGUGGUAUGGAGCGGCGAGGGGGCGAGGUGAUAUGUGACUGGGGGACUGGCAGGGGCAGCUUCCCAUGGGAGGAGCCAGGGAGGGGGGAGGAGG
Molecule: long non-coding RNA, 1831 nt
Filed under: Heterocephalus glaber (naked mole-rat)
Lineage: Eukaryota; Metazoa; Chordata; Mammalia; Rodentia; Bathyergidae
Description: lncRNA (ENSHGLG00100050668.1)
Source: RNAcentral